AAUAGCAACAAAAACUGAGGGUUUAACGGUCUUUUUGAAGUCUCAAAACAUUUGACCCCAUGGGGGUGAUUUUUCGUGGGUAGGAAUCCUAAGUUGUUACUCUUGAAUAUCCGUUUUGACUGUCACACAAUGUGUCACACAUCUUCUGUUUUUAGAGGAUUACGUGUCGAAAGUUAGGAGUUUGUUGAGAGCAUUAUUAGUUUGUUAAACGUGGCUGUAACGCCCGUAUUUACUCGGGAUAAGGUAAAGACUGAACUAAGCAUGUAGAGCCGCAGGCAGCGGACAAGCGGACGCGGGUUCAAUUCCCGCCGCCUCCACCA
RNAcentral lists this transfer-messenger RNA (320 nucleotides) under Gammaproteobacteria bacterium. RNAcentral describes it as "partial transfer-messenger RNA". It matches the Rfam family "transfer-messenger RNA", at positions 82 to 374 of the family's 374-position model. From Rfam's summary of the family: Bacterial tmRNA, also known as 10Sa RNA or SsrA, is named for its dual tRNA and mRNA-like properties. Its role is to liberate the mRNA from a stalled ribosome. Lineage: Bacteria; Pseudomonadati; Pseudomonadota; Gammaproteobacteria. The record is from RNAcentral.